UACGUAGGUGGCGAGCGUUGUCCGGAAUUACUGGGCGUAAAGGGUGCGUAGGUGGUAGUUAAAGUCAGAUGUGAAAACCCCGGGCUUAACCUGGGAACUGCAUUUGAAACUUAACUACUAGAGUGCAGGAGAGGAAAGCGGAAUUCCUAGUGUAGCGGUGAAAUGCGUAGAUAUUAGGAAGAACACCAGUGGCGAAGGCGGCUUUCUGGACUGUAACUGACACUGAGGCACGAAAGCGUGGGGAGCAAACAGG
Molecule: ribosomal RNA, 253 nt
Filed under: Clostridiaceae bacterium
Lineage: Bacteria; Bacillati; Bacillota; Clostridia; Eubacteriales; Clostridiaceae
Description: partial 16S ribosomal RNA
Rfam family: Bacterial small subunit ribosomal RNA
Source: RNAcentral